GGUAAAAUGGCUGAGCCUAGGCUAUAAAUUGUAAAUUUAUCAACGAAUUAUUAAUUCUUUUACCA
This 65-nucleotide transfer RNA is filed under the name Tenebrionoidea sp. 13 KM-2017. RNAcentral describes it as "tRNA-Tyr". The record is from RNAcentral. Lineage: Eukaryota; Metazoa; Arthropoda; Insecta; Coleoptera.